RNAcentral lists this small RNA (84 nucleotides) under Marmota monax (woodchuck). The record is from RNAcentral. Lineage: Eukaryota; Metazoa; Chordata; Mammalia; Rodentia; Sciuridae.
GCUGGGUGUGGUGGCGCACACCUGUCAUCCCAGCAACUCAGGAGGCUAAGGCAGGAGGAUCUGCAAAUUCGAGACCAGCCUCUA